GGGGGGGGGGGGGGGGGGGGGGGGGGCGGGGGGGUCGGGCGGGCGGGGGAGCGGCUUGCUUCUCGGAUGGUCGCGGCGGGCGGGUGCGUGACGCGUUGUGCACCUACCUAUACGACUGGGAUCACUUCGGGAAACCGGCGCUGAUACCGGAUAAGAUUUUGCAGCGCGUGGUUCGCAAGUGAACGACGGUCUUGCUGUCACUUCUAGAUGGAUGCGCGCUGCAUUCGCUAGGUGGUAAGGUAACGGCUUACCAAGGCAACGAUGCAUAGCCGACCUCCGAGGGUGAACGGCCACCCUGGAACUGAGACACGGUCCAGACUCCUACGGGAGGCAGCAGUAGGGAAUCUUCCGCAAUGGGCGAAAGCCUGACGGAGCAACGCCGCGUGAGUGAUGAAGGUCUUCGGAUCGUAAAACUCUGUUAUUAGGGAAGAACAUAUGUGUAAGUAACUGUGCACAUCUUGACGGUACCUAAUCAGAAAGCCACGGCUAACUACGUG
RNAcentral lists this ribosomal RNA (497 nucleotides) under uncultured bacterium. RNAcentral describes it as "partial 16S ribosomal RNA". The stretch from base 51 to 497 matches the Rfam family "Bacterial small subunit ribosomal RNA", at positions 39 to 507 of the family's 1533-position model. The record is from RNAcentral.